This 468-nucleotide ribosomal RNA is filed under the name uncultured bacterium. RNAcentral describes it as "partial 16S ribosomal RNA". It matches the Rfam family "Bacterial small subunit ribosomal RNA", at positions 28 to 507 of the family's 1533-position model. The record is from RNAcentral.
GACGAACGCUGGCGGCGUACUUAACACAUGCAAGUCGAACGGAAAGGCCCUGCUUUUGUGGGGUGCUCGAGUGGCGAACGGGUGAGUAACACGUGAGUAACCUGCCCUUGACUUUGGGAUAACUUCAGGAAACUGGGGCUAAUACCGGAUAGGAGCUCCUGCUGCAUGGUGGGGGUUGGAAAGUUUCGGCGGUUGGGGAUGGACUCGCGGCUUAUCAGCUUGUUGGUGGGGUAGUGGCUUACCAAGGCUUUGACGGGUAGCCGGCCUGAGAGGGUGACCGGCCACAUUGGGACUGAGAUACGGCCCAGACUCCUACGGGAGGCAGCAGUGGGGAAUAUUGCACAAUGGGCGGAAGCCUGAUGCAGCAACGCCGCGUGCGGGAUGACGGCCCUCGGGUUGUAAACCGCUUUCGCCUGUGACGAAGCGUGAGUGACGGUAAUGGGUAAAGAAGCACCGGCUAACUACGUG